GACGAACGCUGGCGGCGUGCCUAAUACAUGCAAGUCGAGCGAAGUUUUUCUGGUGCUUGCACUAGAAAAACUUAGCGGCGAACGGGUGAGUAACACGUAAAGAACCUGCCUCAUAGACUGGGACAACUAUUGGAAACGAUAGCUAAUACCGGAUAACAGCAUUAACUGCAUGGUUGAUGUUUAAAAGUUGGUUUUGCUAACACUAUGAGAUGGCUUUGCGGUGCAUUAGCUAGUUGGUGGGGUAAAGGCCUACCAAGGCGACGAUGCAUAGCCGACCUGAGAGGGUGAUCGGCCACACUGGGACUGAGACACGGCCCAGACUCCUACGGGAGGCAGCAGUAGGGAAUCUUCCGCAAUGGGCGAAAGCCUGACGGAGCAACGCCGCGUGAGUGAAGAAGGAUUUCGGUUCGUAAAGCUCUGUUGUUAGGGAAGAAUGAUUGUGUAGUAACUAUACACAGUAGAGACGGUACCUAACCAGAAAGCCACGGCUAACUACGUGCCAGCAGCCGCGGUAAUACGUAGGUGGCAAGCGUUGUCCGGAAUUAUUGGGCGUAAAGCGCGCGCAGGUGGUUUAAUAAGUCUGAUGUGAAAGCCCACGGCUCAACCGUGGAGGGUCAUUGGAAACUGUUAAACUUGAGUGCAGGAGAGAAAAGUGGAAUUCCUAGUGUAGCGGUGAAAUGCGUAGAGAUUAGGGGGAACACCAGUGGCGAAGGCGGCUUUUUGGCCUGUAACUGACACUGAGGCGCGAAAGCGUGGGGAGCAAACAGG
RNAcentral lists this ribosomal RNA (768 nucleotides) under uncultured bacterium. RNAcentral describes it as "bacterial SSU rRNA". It matches the Rfam family "Bacterial small subunit ribosomal RNA", at positions 28 to 776 of the family's 1533-position model. The record is from RNAcentral.